Molecule: non-coding RNA, 126 nt
Organism: Chelonoidis abingdonii (Abingdon island giant tortoise)
Lineage: Eukaryota; Metazoa; Chordata; Testudines; Testudinidae
Source: RefSeq, a predicted model, not a curated record
CGCUGCAUCCGAGGCUGCUAAAGGAGUUGGCGAAUGUGAUUGCAGACCCAUUGGCCAUUAUCUUUUGAAAACUCAUGGCAAUCAGGGGAGGUCCCAGAUGCCUGGAAAAAGGCUAAUGUAGUGCCC